ACACCGGCUUCUCGAACACACACUAACCCUGGACUGUAGACACCGGCUUCUAAGCACUGGGCUCCAACCCUGGAAUGUCACUCCCAACUUGUCUGUCUUCCCUAUUUAUCUAAAGAGGGGUCCUUAUAUCUGUAAUGUGUCGAAGACUACCUAGACGUCAGGUCCUUAUAUCUGUACUGUGUCUGAGACUACCUAGACAUCAGAUCCUUAUAUCUGUACUGUGUCUGAGACUACCUAGACAUCAGGUCCUUAUAUCUGUACUGUGUCUGAGACUACCUAGACGUCAGAUCCUUAUAUCUGUACUGUGUCUGAGACUACCUAGACAUCAGGUCCUUAUAUCUGUACUGUGUCUGAGACUACCUAGACAUCAGGUCCUUAUAUCUGUACUGUGUCUGAGACUACCUAGACAUCAGGUCCUAUUUGGUCUAUACUGGUUUAAAGACUAUACUGGUCACUAUUUGGUCUAUACUGGUUUAAAGGCUAUUCUGGACACUAGUCUAUACUGGUUUAAGUACUAUACUAGUUUAAAGGCUAUUCUCGUCACUAGUUGGUCUGUACUGGUUUAAAGACUAUACUGGUCACAAGUCUAUACUGGUUUAAAUACUAUACUAGUUUAAAGGCUAUUCUGGUCACUAGUUGGUCUGUACUGGUUUAAAGACUAUUCUCGUCACUAUUUGGUCUAUACUAGUUUAAAGACUAAUCUGGUCACUAGUUGGUCUAUACCGGUUUAUUCUUUGCCAUUGUAAUGAAAAUGUUGUGCGACAAUCCAUCUGUUUUGUCAUCUUGUGGGACCUUGUUGUCUUGUGUGUGCCUACAUGUAAUCCUGAACAAAUCACUGACGCCUAUACAGUCAAUGUAGAACACUGGAAAUCAGCUAUUACUAUUCUGGAUGUGUCUGUCUGUACAAGAUGUUAAGAAUAGCAAUAGUCGCCAAAAUAGGAAAUGUGAAUUAAUGUCAUUGUGAUGAAAGAUGCAAUAUAAAGUAACAUCAUAAAUAAAAACAUUUGAAAG
Molecule: long non-coding RNA, 1011 nt
Organism: Oncorhynchus tshawytscha (Chinook salmon)
Lineage: Eukaryota; Metazoa; Chordata; Actinopteri; Salmoniformes; Salmonidae
Source: Ensembl